This 492-nucleotide ribosomal RNA is filed under the name uncultured bacterium. RNAcentral's name for it is "bacterial SSU rRNA". It matches the Rfam family "Bacterial small subunit ribosomal RNA", at positions 28 to 526 of the family's 1533-position model. The record is from RNAcentral.
GACGAACGCUGGCGGCGUGCUUAACACAUGCAAGUCGAACGCUGAAGCUCCCUGCUUGCAGGGGGUGGAUGAGUGGCGAACGGGUGAGUAACACGUGAGUAACCUGCCCAUGUCUCUGGGAUAAGCGCUGGAAACGGCGUCUAAUACUGGAUACGACCCAUGCCGGCAUCGGUAGUGGGUGGAAAGAUUUAUCGGAGAUGGAUGGACUCGCGGCCUAUCAGCUUGAUGGUGAGGUAAUGGCUCACCAUGGCGACGACGGGUAGCCGGCCUGAGAGGGUGACCGGCCACACUGGGACUGAGACACGGCCCAGACUCCUACGGGAGGCAGCAGUGGGGAAUAUUGCACAAUGGGCGCAAGCCUGAUGCAGCAACGCCGCGUGAGGGAUGACGGCCUUCGGGUUGUAAACCUCUUUUGUCAGGGAAGAAGCCUUUGGGUGACGGUACCUGGAGAAAAAGCACCGGCUAACUACGUGCCAGCCGCCGCCGUAACAC